AUUGAACGCUGGCGGCAGGCUUAACACAUGCAAGUCGAGCGGGGGAAGGUAGCUUGCUACCGGACCUAGCGGCGGACGGGUGAGUAAUGCUUAGGAAUCUGCCUAUUAGUGGGGGACAACAUCUCGAAAGGGAUGCUAAUACCGCAUACGUCCUACGGGAGAAAGCAGGGGAUCUUCGGACCUUGCGCUAAUAGAUGAGCCUAAGUCGGAUUAGCUAGUUGGUGGGGUAAAGGCCUACCAAGGCGACGAUCUGUAGCGGGUCUGAGAGGAUGAUCCGCCACACUGGGACUGAGACACGGCCCAGACUCCUAGGGGAGGCAGCAGUGGGGAAUAUUGGACAAUGGGGGGAACCCUGAUCCAGCCAUGCCGCGUGUGUGAAGAAGGCCUUAUGGUUGUAAAGCACUUUAAGCGAGGAGGAGGCUACUCUAGUUAAUACCUAGGGAUAGUGGACGUUACUCGCAGAAUAAGCACCGGCUAACUCUGUGCCAGCCGCCGCGGUAA
Molecule: ribosomal RNA, 501 nt
Filed under: uncultured bacterium
Lineage: Bacteria
Description: partial 16S ribosomal RNA
Rfam family: Bacterial small subunit ribosomal RNA
Source: RNAcentral